UGAUAUUGAUGUAGAUGCAUGACUUAUUUUGGAACUUGGAAGCAACAAGUCUAGGAAAUUAUGACAAAUAUCUUUUGUUGCAGCUCCCUUUAAUUUCACAGCAUAAUUCUAAACUUUAGUAUAAUUUGUAUGCAGGUAUGACUGGGAUAGUUGAUUAUACCAAUUAUGAUGAUAUGAAAUAUGCUAUCAGGAAACUUGAUGACUCAGAAUUCCGCAAUGCCUUUUCUCGUGCUUUCAUACGGGUGAGGGAAUAUGAUUGAGGUUAUUCUAGAAGUCCUAGUCGUGAUUCAAGGAGGAGCUAUUCUAGAAGCCUCAGCCGCAGUCCAUAUGUCUCACGAAGCCGCAGCCAUAGCCGCAGCAGAAGUCAUAGCUAUAGUGACAGGAGCAGAAGUUGGUCUCCGAAACCAAAACACUCUCGACGUUCAAUAUCUCUUUCAAGGUCAGUUUCUACCAAGUCUGAUACAUAUGCAGUUUUGUGCUCUGUGCUUUGAAUGUUGAAAUUUUAAAGUUUGGUUAAUGUCAUUAGUGAAUGAGUAUCCCUGCGUUAUUGUAACUAGGGUGUUUCUCUUGGAGUCUAUGUUUCUAUCAUCUUUCCUAAUAGGUAGUAUCAUGUGGCUCAUUUAAUGUAGAAAUGUUUUACAUCUAUGGUGGAUCAAAAUUAAAUGCUUGAUCAUUUUGCGUAAUAAUAAUAAGAUUUAUUUGGGUGAAUACUGUGAUCUUUCUUACUACUUUUACUCAAUUUAUACUCUUUUGUCUAUGAGUUUUGGUUGAGAAAUAAGAGCUUGAUUUGUUGUUUUAUUAUUCUAUUUGUUAUUGUUGACUCAUGGUUGGGUACAUCUUUGCUCAUGUAAACAAAUUGACUUGUGUCAACUUUUGUCC
Molecule: long non-coding RNA, 879 nt
Organism: Glycine soja
Lineage: Eukaryota; Viridiplantae; Streptophyta; Magnoliopsida; Fabales; Fabaceae
Exons: 4
Source: RefSeq, a predicted model, not a curated record